RNAcentral lists this ribosomal RNA (800 nucleotides) under uncultured bacterium. Its description in RNAcentral is "bacterial SSU rRNA". It matches the Rfam family "Bacterial small subunit ribosomal RNA", at positions 8 to 841 of the family's 1533-position model. The record is from RNAcentral.
AGAGUUUGAUCAUGGCUCAGAUUGAACGCUGGCGGCGCGCUUAACACAUGCAAGUCGAGCGAGAAAGCGGGGCAACCCGUGAGUACAGCGGCGUACGGGUGAGUAACACGUGGGUAAUCUACCUCCGAGUGGGGAAUAACCCUGGGAAACCGGGGCUAAUACCGCAUAAGCCUGGGAAGGGAAAGCAGCAAUGCGCUGGGAGAGGAGCCCGCGGCCGAUUAGCUAGUUGGUGAGGUAAGAGCUCACCAAGGCGACGAUCGGUAGCCGGCCUGAGAGGGCACACGGCCACACUGGCACUGAAACACGGGCCAGACUCCUACGGGAGGCAGCAGUGGGGAAUCUUGCACAAUGGGGGCAACCCUGAUGCAGCGACGCCGCGUGAGCGAUGAAGCCCUUCGGGGUGUAAAGCUCUUUCGGCAGGGACGAUAAUGACGGUACCUGCAGAAGCAGCUGCGGCUAACUACGUGCCAGCAGCCGCGGUAAUACGUAGGCAGCGAGCGUUGUUCGGAGUUACUGGGCGUAAAGGGUGCGUAGGCGGCCGAUUAAGUUUGUCGUGAAAUCUCCCGGCUCAACUGGGAGGGUGCGGCGAAUACUGACCGGCUCGAGUGUGGGAGAGGAGAGUGGAAUUCCUGGUGUAGCGGUGAAAUGCGUAGAUAUCAGGAGGAACACCGGCGGUGUAGACGGCUCUCUGGACCAUAACUGACGCUGAGGCACGAAAGCGUGGGUAGCAAACAGGAUUAGAUACCCUGGUAGUCCACGCCCUAAACGAUGCACAUUUGGUGUGGGCAGUUCAUUCUGUC